GAGGUGGAAGAAGAAGAAAAAACAAA
This 26-nucleotide small RNA is filed under the name Arabidopsis thaliana (thale cress). Its description in RNAcentral is "ATSL251170". The record is from RNAcentral. Lineage: Eukaryota; Viridiplantae; Streptophyta; Magnoliopsida; Brassicales; Brassicaceae.